This 301-nucleotide ribosomal RNA is filed under the name uncultured bacterium. RNAcentral's name for it is "partial 16S ribosomal RNA". It matches the Rfam family "Bacterial small subunit ribosomal RNA", at positions 509 to 807 of the family's 1533-position model. The record is from RNAcentral.
CAGCCGCCGCGGGAAUACAGAGGGUGCGAGCGUUAAUCGGAUUUACUGGGCGUAAAGCGCGCGUAGGUGGUUCAUUAAGUUGGAUGUGAAAGCCCUGGGCUCAACCUGGGAACUGCAUCCAAAACUGGUGAGCUAGAGUACGGUAGAGGGUAGUGGAAUUUCCUGUGUAGCGGUGAAAUGCGUAGAUAUAGGAAGGAACACCAGUGGCGAAGGCGACUACCUGGACUGAUACUGACACUGAGGUGCGAAAGCGUGGGGAGCAAACAGGAUUAGAUACCCCAGUAGUCCCUGUCUCUUAUAC